RNAcentral lists this transfer RNA (72 nucleotides) under Pangasianodon gigas (Mekong giant catfish). RNAcentral describes it as "tRNA-Glu". It matches the Rfam family "tRNA". Rfam says of the family: Transfer RNA (tRNA) molecules are approximately 80 nucleotides in length. Their secondary structure includes four short double-helical elements and three loops (D, anti-codon, and T loops). The record is from RNAcentral. Lineage: Eukaryota; Metazoa; Chordata; Actinopteri; Siluriformes; Pangasiidae.
UCUCUGGAGGACUAGUGGUUAGGCCUCGACGCUCUCACUGCCGUGGCCUGGAUUCAAAUCCUGGCCAGGGAA